AUUUUAUUUUAUGCUAAACUUUGGCCCAGGCAAUAAUUUAGAUGCUGCUUAGUGGCUGAUCCUGAUCAUCUGAACAGGGAUACAGCAAAUUAUGGUUGCCAAGACUCGUCUGCCGAUCCUACCAUGAACAGGAUUGGAGGCACUUCCUUGCGUUGGUUUGCAUGUCUAAUUAUUUAUCUUAUAUGGUGGACAUGAUAGCAUGGUGACCUUGUCUGUUUUUCUGCAGAUCAGGUGCCCAUUUAUAGUUUUAAUCAGAUCAAACAGGUACAAGUAAAGGAAGGCAUCGCUCAUCAAGGGACACAAGGAGAUGAGUGAAUUCAGCUUCAGCAUCUGCCAAUGCUUGAUGCAGGCGUGCUCUUGAAAUAUUUGCACUAUCUACUUUUCGCCUAUAGACGUCUAGACACUCUUGCUCCAGUUCCAUGAGAGCCUUCUCCCUUUCAAAUUCAUGUUGACCAACUUCAUCCCAGAUUAGCUGUUACUAGGUGAAUUUUGAGG
Molecule: long non-coding RNA, 495 nt
Organism: Telopea speciosissima
Lineage: Eukaryota; Viridiplantae; Streptophyta; Magnoliopsida; Proteales; Proteaceae
Exons: 2
Source: RefSeq, a predicted model, not a curated record